Molecule: ribosomal RNA, 582 nt
Filed under: Triticum aestivum (bread wheat)
Lineage: Eukaryota; Viridiplantae; Streptophyta; Magnoliopsida; Poales; Poaceae
Description: partial small subunit ribosomal RNA
Source: RNAcentral
AUGGACACAGAGGAGUCCAGGCCAUGGCAGCCGAGGAGAAGCAGGGCCAUGGGCGUGUCGGGCCGAGGAGCUCCUGGCCGCAGUGGCGCGGCGCCGGAGCAGGGACCAGCGACGAGGCAAGGCAACGUGGAGGAGCCUGCGAGGGACCCUGGCGAGGAGGCAGUGGAGGACGGUGCUGGCGACGCUGGCCUUGGCGAGGAGCUCAGGGGUGGCGCUCGCCCGGGCGGUGGCGGCGGGGCCAGCUUCGAGGAAGAGGUUGCGAUGCAGAGGGAGAAAGGAGGCGGGACUCGGCACGCCGGCGGGACGGCAGCGGCUGCAUGGAGCGGGCGGCGGCCAAGGCGCUCGGGAAGGCGCGGGGAGGAGGUUGCUGAGGGCGGUCGGUGCUCGAGGAGCUCCUCUCCUCAGGCGCUCAGCGACAUGGGGUUCUCGCUCCUCUUUCUCCCUCUCUGGGUGACGGUGCAAGGGAGAGGACAAGAGGAGUGCGAUGGGAUUGGAAGAGAGAUGGGGAUCGGGUGCGGGGCGUGUGUGGCGGCGGAGGGAGGACGAGCGAACGAGGGGAGGUGCGCGUGGGGAUCGGGCUAG